Molecule: long non-coding RNA, 382 nt
Organism: Gossypium arboreum
Lineage: Eukaryota; Viridiplantae; Streptophyta; Magnoliopsida; Malvales; Malvaceae
Exons: 3
Source: RefSeq, a predicted model, not a curated record
UAGUGGAGAGAGGGAAUGAGUUUUAAGCUUCAUUUUCUGUGCAUGUCGAUUUGGGGGAAAGAAGAAAACAUAUUCGGCCAUUGUUGUUUUAGUUUGAAGCUCAAAUUAGUUGAUCAAGUGAAGAAUAGAUCGAGUAUCAGCUGUGGGAAGGAAAAGAUCACUGAGUAGACAUCCGUUGUAUUUUGGUUAGGUACUUUCUUUUGAUCGUCAACUCAGCAUCCAACGACAACAAUCCCGAUCUCAAGUAUGGUGAUGUUUAAUUUUGUAAUGGCAUAUACCUAGGAUGUCUUUGGUUGUUAGUUGUUUUAUGAAUGUGAUGUAAAUUGAGUUAUAAGUAUAUGUUUAUGUUUGAAGCUAAAUGUUAGUAUGCGUUCUGACCAAA